ACGCUGGCGGCGUGCCUAAUACAUGCAAGUAGAACGCUGAAGAGAGGAGCUUGCUCUUCUUGGAUGAGUUGCGAACGGGUGAGUAACGCGUAGGUAACCUGCCUUGUAGCGGGGGAUAACUAUUGGAAACGAUAGCUAAUACCGCAUAACAAUGGAUGACACAUGUCAUUUAUUUGAAAGGGGCAAUUGCUCCACUACAAGAUGGACCUGCGUUGUAUUAGCUAGUAGGUGAGGUAACGGCUCACCUAGGCGACGAUACAUAGCCGACCUGAGAGGGUGAUCGGCCACACUGGGACUGAGACACGGCCCAGACUCCUACGGGAGGCAGCAGUAGGGAAUCUUCGGCAAUGGGGGCAACCCUGACCGAGCAACGCCGCGUGAGUGAAGAAGGUUUUCGGAUCGUAAAGCUCUGUUGUAAGUCAAGAACGAGUGUGAGAGUGGAAAGUUCACACUGUGACGGUAGCUUACCAGAAAGGGACGGCUAACUACGUGCCAGCAGCCGCGGUAAUACGUAGGUCCCGAGCGUUGUCCGGAUUUAUUGGGCGUAAAGCGAGCGCAGGCGGUUUGAUAAGUCUGAAGUUAAAGGCUGUGGCUCAACCAUAGUUCGCUUUGGAAACUGUCAAACUUGAGUGCAGAAGGGGAGAGUGGAAUUCCAUGUGUAGCGGUGAAAUGCGUAGAUAUAUGGAGGAACACCGGUGGCGAAAGCGGCUCUCUGGUCUGUAACUGACGCUGAGGCUCGAAAGCGUGGUGAGCGAACAGGAUUAGAUACCCUGGUAGUCCACGCCGUAAACGAUGAGUGCUAGGUGUUGGAUCCUUUCCGGGAUUCAGUGCCGCAGCUAACGCAUUAAGCACUCCGCCUGGGGAGUACGACCGCAAGGUUGAAACUCAAAGGAAUUG
Molecule: ribosomal RNA, 897 nt
Filed under: uncultured bacterium
Lineage: Bacteria
Description: bacterial SSU rRNA
Rfam family: Bacterial small subunit ribosomal RNA
Source: RNAcentral